Molecule: ribosomal RNA, 522 nt
Filed under: uncultured microorganism
Description: bacterial SSU rRNA
Rfam family: Bacterial small subunit ribosomal RNA
Source: RNAcentral
GAGUUUGAUCCUGGCUCAGAUUGAACGCUGGCGGCAGGCCUAACACAUGCAAGUCGAGCGGAUGAAGGGAGCUUGCUCCUGGAUUCAGCGGCGGACGGGUGAGUAAUGCCUAGGAAUCUGCCUGGGUAGUGGGGAGUAACGUCCGGAAACGGGCGCUAAUACCGCAUACGUCCUGAGGGAGGAAAGUGGGGGAGUCUUCGGACCUCACGCUAUCAGACGAGCCUAGGUCGGAUUAGCUAGUUGGUGGGGUAAAGGCCUACCAAGGCGACGAUCCGUAACUGGUCUGAGAGGAUGAUCAGUCACACUGGAACUGAGACACGGUCCAGACUCCUACGGGAGGCAGCAGUGGGGAAUAUUGGACAAUGGGCGAAAGCCUGAUCCAGCCAUGCCGCGUGUGUGAAGAAGGUCUUCGGAUUGUAAGCACUUUAAGUUGGGAGGAAGGGCAGUAAGUUAAUACCUUGCUGUUUUGUACGUUACCAACAGAAUAAGCACCGGCUAACUUCGUGCCAGCAGCAGCCGCCG